Molecule: long non-coding RNA, 855 nt
Filed under: Homo sapiens (human)
Lineage: Eukaryota; Metazoa; Chordata; Mammalia; Primates; Hominidae
Description: long non-coding RNA NONHSAT149553
Source: RNAcentral
ACUGCGCUUCCGUCGCACAGAGCCUGACGAAGGCUUGGGCUCCCCGCGCGGUGACCGUCGAGGUGACCUGCACCUGGCUCCAUGGCGGAACCGGCCGGCACGGAUUAUUCCCCUCUCGGGAGAGGUCUGCAGCCGGGCCUCAGUGCUUCAGUUCGUGGCCUGGCAUUUUGUGAAGAGUGUCUUCAUCUCUGCAUCCCUAGUGCAACAGAGCAUGACAAAAAUUCAACAAAUAUUUAUUGAAGAGUCUUGAUGUCUUUUGGGAAAGGAACUCUAUGGUUACCUUUACUCUAAGGCAUUGUGAAGACCCUGUUUCUCUAGCUGUGCAGCUGCAAGGUCACUAGGCAGAUAAACUCAAGCCAUAAAACAUGUUUUUCCUUGAAAAUUAAAAACAACAACAACAACAACAAAAACACAAAACCCUGAGGCUCAGAAGAUAAAUAUUUGCUGAAGAUCACUGUGCUUAUUAGAUGGGUGUUACUGAUUCUUACCUCAGAGAAGAGAAUGUCAUGGAGACAAAAUGACCUGCUUAGAGUUCUGCACCCCCCAGCAUGGAGAGCAGAGCGCAAAGAUUUCUUCCGGACUCCCACAUUCCCCUUGGAAUCCAAGAACUGGUCUACUGUCACAACACUUUAGUACCCUCUUAGAUGGGGAUCUCACUCUGUUGCCCAGGCUGGUCUCAAACUCCUGGCUUCAAGCAAUCCUCCUGCUUCGGCCUCCCAAACUUCUGGGAUUACAGAUAUGAGCCACCACGGCUGGCUGACAGGCACCAAAUUCUAGGAGAGGACUUGAAUAGACUCCCAAGGAGGCAGCAGAAACUGGGGUAAUCACAACGGUCAACAGCAGCAAAGGCAGCAC